UGGCGAUUGUGGCGAAGUGGUUAACGCACCUGAUUGUGGUUCAGGCAUUCGUGGGUUCGAUUCCCAUGCGUUGGUUCAAAUCCAGCUAGCCCAGCCA
This 97-nucleotide transfer RNA is filed under the name Neobacillus niacini. Its description in RNAcentral is "tRNA-His". The stretch from base 10 to 67 matches the Rfam family "tRNA", at positions 8 to 63 of the family's 71-position model. From Rfam's summary of the family: Transfer RNA (tRNA) molecules are approximately 80 nucleotides in length. Their secondary structure includes four short double-helical elements and three loops (D, anti-codon, and T loops). The record is from RNAcentral. Lineage: Bacteria; Bacillati; Bacillota; Bacilli; Caryophanales; Bacillaceae.